AUGAUGCUAACCGAGCUAACGCGGAAGCACGGCCUGAGGAUCGCCGCUGCUUCUCGUUUUUCCGUGGACGAGUGCGCGGUUGUUGUGGCUGCGGUGGUCGGUCCGCUCAGCCUAAAAUCAGCUGCAAGAAUGAACGGAGUAGUGGUCAUUUUUCUGGACAGUGUUGAUAAAGUCCACAAAGUCAUCGAACACGGCAUCGUUAUCAACGGUGAUUCCAUCUCCGUGUCUCCUCUCACGCAACCUGCUAAAAAGGUAACAGUGUCCAACGUCCCACCUUUCAUCAGCGACCACCUGUUGAGAAAAGAACUGUCCAGGCACGGAAAAAUAGUGUCUCCCAUUAAAAAGUUACCAUCGGGCUGUAAACAGUGGGAACUGCGUCACGUGAUUUCUCACAGGCGUCAGGUCUACAUGGUCCUGAACAAUAAGGAGGAAGAACUGAAUCUUGGUUUUAAGCUCAGAAUUGACGACUACGACUACGUUCUGUUCAUAACGUCAGAGACUAUGAAAUGCUUUGGAUGUGGCAAAGAGGGACAUUUAGUGAGAGCCUGUUCAGACAAAGCUGGGGGCGACUUCCACUCGGGUGCAGGAGGCCGUGCAGCCGCCUAUGGAGGAGAGGCCCAGCGCGGAGGAGAGGAGCAGCACGGAGGAGAGGAUGGACAGGAGGCUGGUGGAGAAGGUGCAGACGGACGGGAGGACGGUGGAGAAGGUGCAGACGGACGGGAGGACGGUGGAGGAGGUGCAGACAAGCAGGAGGAGGCCGGUGGUGGUGGUGAAACAAAAGUAGUGAGUGGAGACACUGUGGUCGAGACUGACAACGAACGGUCUAAACAGGCUGAAGUUGAGACUGUAAACGGAAGUGAAGUUGCUGAUAUGUCAACUGUGGGAAGGCAGAACAGAAAUGAUAUAGAAAUGUGUGAUCAGGACCCAAAUGUAAACAGUGCUGUAGCUGAAGAGAAUGCAGGGAUGGGUGAUGGUAGGAAAGAACAUACAAAGAGAAAAAGCGACACUACUGUUGAUGACACAGAUGAUCAGUCAGGAACUGGUAAAAAGGUAAAGGGCCAAAAGCCAGACAGACGACCUGUGACUCAGAUCUCAGUGAGGAUGAGUUUUCUCUCAGCUCUGACGGUGAAAUGUCUGACUGUAGGUCUCAGUCACCGGAGCCCAAGACCUACUCAGUUGAUCGGGUUAAACUGUUUUUACAGCACACGAAAAAUAAGAGGGGUGUGA
Molecule: long non-coding RNA, 1227 nt
Filed under: Betta splendens (Siamese fighting fish)
Lineage: Eukaryota; Metazoa; Chordata; Actinopteri; Anabantiformes; Osphronemidae
Description: lncRNA (ENSBSLG00000017976.1)
Source: RNAcentral